UGUCACACGAGUGAAUCAUCGAAUCUUUGAACGCAAGUGGCGCUCUCACGCUCGCGUGGGAGCAUGCCUCUUUCAGCAUCGGUUAUUCUAAACUCAUCUGCUUGCAGAUGGAGAAUGAGUUGUCGCUUGUUUUCGCAAGAAAGAAAGCGUCACUUGAAGUCUGGCGAGCUCAGUCGCAAGUUUCACUGAGAAAGUGACGUUGGUAGGUAACAAAAAGGCCGUCAAACGUCUUUUGUUUACUUCACGCCGCGUCUGCUUCGUUUGCAGAUGAAGCUGCCCUAUACAUUUAGCAAUAAAUAGAUAGGACGACUAGCGUAAGAGCAGUCUUUUACUUAACAGUAGAAGUAGCUACUCAGCCUUAACGACUUGAUCUGAAAUGAGGUAAGAGGACCCCGCCGGAAUUUAAGCAUAUCAAUAAGCGGAGG
RNAcentral lists this ribosomal RNA (425 nucleotides) under uncultured Mortierellales. RNAcentral's name for it is "eukaryotic LSU rRNA". The stretch from base 1 to 81 matches the Rfam family "5.8S ribosomal RNA", at positions 72 to 154 of the family's 154-position model. The record is from RNAcentral. Lineage: Eukaryota; Fungi; Mortierellomycota; Mortierellomycetes; Mortierellales.